AGGAAAUAGACCCGAACCUUGGUGAUCUAACCUUGACCAGGAUGAAGCGUGGGUAACACUACGUGGAGGUCCGAACCAACCGAUGUUGAAAAAUCGGUGGAUGAGUUGAGGUUAGGGGUGAAAUGCCAAUCGAACCAAGAGCUAGCUGGUUCUCCCCGAAAUGCGUUUAGGCACAGCGUUGGAUUUAUCUUGCAGGAGGUAGAGCACUGGUUUUGUGCGGGCGUCGAAAUGAUGUACCAAACAAUGUCAAACUCCGAAUACCUGUAAUGUCAUUAUCCAGCAGUGAGGCUAUGAGUGAUAAGAUCCAUGGCCAAGAGGGAAACAGCCCAGAACGCCAGUUAAGGUCCCUAAUAUAUGCUAAGUGGUUAAGGAGGUAGAGUUACUGAGACAACCAGGAGGUUGGCUUAGAAGCAGCCAUCCCUUGAAAGAGUGCGUAAUAGCUCACUGGUCAAGUGACUCCGCGCCGAAAAUACACCGGGACUAAAGCAUAUAACCGAAGCUGCGUCAUAUAGUUUACUAUAUGGGUAGGGGAGCGUACUGUAGUAAGACGAAGCUAGAGUGAAAACACUAGUGGAUGAGGCAGUAGUGAGAAUGUCGGCAUAAGUAGCGAAAACAUUGGUGAGAAUCCAAUGCACCGAAAACCUAAGGUUUCCCACGGCAGGCUCGUCCGCGUGGGGUUAGUCGGAUCCUAAGCUCAGGCCAAACGGCGUAGGCGAUGGACAAUAGGUUGAUAUUCCUAUACUAUCUGAUAAUCGUUAUCAGAAGCGGAGGGACGCAAGAGGAUAAGCACGCAGUCGACUGGAAGAGACUGUAUAAGCGUGUAGCUAGGUUUGACAGGAAAAUCCGUCAAAUCGUUAAUGUGAGGCGUGAUGUGGAGAGUCUACGGACUCGAAGGUGUUGACUCCAAAUUGCCAAGAAAAUCUUCGCUCUCGAGAUUAUUGGGUAUCCGUACCGUAAACCGCCACAGGUAGGUUGGUAGAAAAUACUAAGGUGCGCGAGACAACUCUCGCUAAGGAACUCGGCAAAAUCACCUCGUAACUUCGGGAGAAGAGGUACCCUGGUAGCGUGAAGCGAUUUACUCGUGAAGCGUGAUAGGGUCGCAGUGAAUAGGCCCAAGCGACUGUUUACCAAAAACACAGGUCUCUGCUAAGUCGAUCAAGACGAUGUAUAGGGGCUGACGCCUGCCCGGUGUCGGAAGGUUACGCGGAAAUGUUAGAAGCAAUUCAAAGCAUCGAAGCUAAGCCCCGAUGAACGGCGGCCGUAACUAUAACGGUCCUAAGGUAGCGAAAUUCCUUGUCAGGUAAGUUCUGACCCGCACGAAUGGCGUAACGAUUUGGGCGCUGUCUCGGCGAGAGGCUCGGCGAAAUUGGAUUAUCCGUGAAGAUACGGAUUACGUGUACCAGGACAGAAAGACCCUAUUGAGCUUUACUGUAGCUUGAAAUUGAAUUCGGGUUCUCAUUGCGCAGUAUAGGUGGGAGACUAUGAAGCUUGAACUUUGGUUUAAGUGGAGUCAUCGUUGAGAUACCACUCUGUGAAAAUUUGGAUUCUAACCUUGAUCCCUCAAAGAACAGGGCAAGGGACAGUUUCUGGUAGGCAGUUUGACUGGGGCGGUCGCCUCCUAAAAAGUAACGGA
RNAcentral lists this ribosomal RNA (1633 nucleotides) under human gut metagenome. RNAcentral's name for it is "bacterial LSU rRNA". It matches the Rfam family "Bacterial large subunit ribosomal RNA", at positions 704 to 2304 of the family's 2925-position model. The record is from RNAcentral.